GUUAUUUUGGCAGAUUAGUGUAAUGAAUUUAGAAUUCAAGAAUGUAAUUAUAUUACAAAUAAUA
RNAcentral lists this transfer RNA (64 nucleotides) under Graptodytes pietrii. Its description in RNAcentral is "tRNA-Leu". The record is from RNAcentral. Lineage: Eukaryota; Metazoa; Arthropoda; Insecta; Coleoptera; Dytiscidae.